RNAcentral lists this unclassified non-coding RNA (376 nucleotides) under Athalia rosae (coleseed sawfly). RNAcentral describes it as "misc RNA ENSAEAG00005009338.1". The record is from RNAcentral. Lineage: Eukaryota; Metazoa; Arthropoda; Insecta; Hymenoptera; Athaliidae.
CAAAAGACUGCGCUAUCCUCGCAAAAAGAAGAAAACACUGCGGGGCUCCAUCGACCUUCCGAGUCGCCGUCAUCGGUUCCAGAGGUUCCGGAAGUCGUAGCGUCGCUAGAAAAUUGUGCGAACGAUUUCAGCUAGUACAUGUUGACUUUGAAAAGGUACUACAACAAACGCGACUCCAGAAUUCACCGUUGGGAAAAAAUCUGAGGAUGAUCGAGCACACUUGGGGUGAUAGACUAAAUCCUGAAACAAGGGCACAAGUGGUUGAGAAAUAUAUUCUGGGAUAUGAAUGCACGAAGCGUGGCUGGGUUCUAACAGGCUACCCCACAACUGAGAAGGACUUUCGGCUGCUUGACAUGAUGGCUACGCCGCCGAAUAG